GAUGAACGCUGGCGGCGUGCCUAAUACAUGCAAGUCGAGCGAACGGACGAGAAGCUUGCUUCUCUGAUGUUAGCGGCGGACGGGUGAGUAACACGUGGAUAACCUACCUAUAAGACUGGGAUAACUUCGGGAAACCGGAGCUAAUCCCGUAUAAUAUUUUGAACCGCAUGGUUCAAAAGUGAAAGACGGUCUUGCUGUCACUUAUAGAUGGAUCCGCGCUGCAUUAGCUAGUUGGUAAGGUAACGGCUUACCAAGGCAACGAUGCAUAGCCGACCUGAGAGGGUGAUCGGCCACACGGGAACUGAGACACGGUCCAGACUCCUACGGGAGGCAGCAGUAGGGAAUCUUCCGCAAUGGGCGAAAGCCUGACGGAGCAACGCCGCGUGAGUGAUGAAGGUCUUCGGAUCGUAAAACUCUGUUAUUAGGGAAGAACAUAUGUGUAAGGAACUGUGCACAGCUUGACGGUACCUAAUCAGAAAGCCACGGCUAACUACGUG
RNAcentral lists this ribosomal RNA (497 nucleotides) under uncultured bacterium. RNAcentral's name for it is "partial 16S ribosomal RNA". It matches the Rfam family "Bacterial small subunit ribosomal RNA", at positions 28 to 507 of the family's 1533-position model. The record is from RNAcentral.